UCAGGACGGACGCUGGCGGCGUGCUUAACACAUGCAAGUCGAACGGAAAGGCCUAGCUUGCUAGGUACUCGAGUGGCGAACGGGUGAGUAACACGUGGGUGAUCUGCCUCGUACUUCGGGAUAAGCCUGGGAAACUGGGUCUAAUACUGGAUAGGACCAUGCUUUAGUGUGUGUGGUGGAAAGUUUUUCGGUACGAGAUGAGCCCGCGGCCUAUCAGCUUGUUGGUGGGGUAAUGGCCUACCAAGGCGUCGACGGGUAGCCGGCCUGAGAGGGUGGACGGCCACAUUGGGACUGAGAUACGGCCCAGACUCCUACGGGAGGCAGCAGUGGGGAAUAUUGCACAAUGGGCG
This 350-nucleotide ribosomal RNA is filed under the name Corynebacterium striatum. RNAcentral describes it as "bacterial SSU rRNA". It matches the Rfam family "Bacterial small subunit ribosomal RNA", at positions 24 to 377 of the family's 1533-position model. The record is from RNAcentral. Lineage: Bacteria; Bacillati; Actinomycetota; Actinomycetes; Mycobacteriales; Corynebacteriaceae.